This 395-nucleotide ribosomal RNA is filed under the name uncultured Allobrachymonas sp. RNAcentral describes it as "bacterial SSU rRNA". It matches the Rfam family "Bacterial small subunit ribosomal RNA", at positions 983 to 1382 of the family's 1533-position model. The record is from RNAcentral. Lineage: Bacteria; Pseudomonadati; Pseudomonadota; Betaproteobacteria; Burkholderiales; Comamonadaceae.
GACAUGGCAGGAAUCCUAAAGAGAUUGGGAGUGCUCGAAAGAGAACCUGCACACAGGUGCUGCAUGGCUGUCGUCAGCUCGUGUCGUGAGAUGUUGGGUUAAGUCCCGCAACGAGCGCAACCCUUGCCAUUAGUUGCUACGAAAGGGCACUCUAAUGGGACUGCCGGUGACAAACCGGAGGAAGGUGGGGAUGACGUCAAGUCCUCAUGGCCCUUAUAGGUGGGGCUACACACGUCAUACAAUGGCCGGUACAGAGGGUAGCCAACCCGCGAGGGGGGAGCCAAUCCCACAAAGCCGGUCGUAGUCCGGAUCGCAGUCUGCAACUCGACUGCGUGAAGUCGGAAUCGCUAGUAAUCGUGGAUCAGCAUGUCACGGUGAAUACGUUCCCGGGUCUU